RNAcentral lists this ribosomal RNA (324 nucleotides) under uncultured eukaryote. Its description in RNAcentral is "partial 18S ribosomal RNA". It matches the Rfam family "Eukaryotic small subunit ribosomal RNA", at positions 1470 to 1796 of the family's 1831-position model. The record is from RNAcentral.
CCCUUAGAUGUCCUGGGCUGCACGCGCGCUACACUGAUGUGUCCAGUAAGCACCUAACCUCUUCCUAAAGGAACGGGUAACCUUUGCAAAGCACAUCGUGAUGGGGAUAGAUUAUUGCAAUUAUUAGUCUUGAACGAGGAAUUCCUAGUAAGCACAAGUCAUCAGCUUGUGUUGAUUACGUCCCUGCCCUUUGUACACACCGCCCGUCGCUCCUACCGAUUGAAUGUUCCGGUGAGCUCUUCGGACUGCGCGGUCUGCAGUUUCUGCGUUCCGUGCGGAAAGUUGCGCAAACCUUAACAUUUAGAGGAAGGAGAAGUCGUAACA